UUGUUUCCGAGGUGAUUCUAGAUCUUGGGAAGUAAACAAUAUGAACAAUAAAGCCCCACCCCCCCCCCAAGACAUCUGUGACUUGGGCAGAACUGAUAAUCAUCAAAGCGAAGUAAGCCAGCAUGGGUAACCUCAGUCACAAAUGGACAUUGUAUUAUCACUCUGAACAAAGUGGAGGAGCAUGGAGUGAGCAUUCCAUCAUGAGAUGUUCCUAUGUUCUGCCUCAUGAAGACCCAGAAUGCAUCAGAACCAAUGGAUGGUGGAUGGAGCCCCUCUGAAACUAACAUGUCACAGAAUCCCAGUGCCGGGAACUGGAAGCUGUCCCAGUCCAGCAGACACGAGCCGAAGAGAGGCAACAUGAAGAAAUGACCAGAAAGCAGAGAAGAAUGGAAAACAUAAAGAGGGGAGGGCGGGGAAGGCACUAGCAAGCCAGAGGCCCAGGGCUUUAAGCUACAAAGGGCGAGCAACCUGUUGUGCAUUAAAAAAAAAAAAAAAUUGGCUGGA
Mastomys coucha (southern multimammate mouse) is the source of this 504-nucleotide long non-coding RNA. RefSeq lists it as uncharacterized. NCBI's taxonomy places the organism in Eukaryota, Metazoa, Chordata, Mammalia, Rodentia, Muridae. The record is from RefSeq and is a predicted model, not a curated record. The transcript has 4 exons.